Long non-coding RNA from Eleginops maclovinus (Patagonian blennie), 1590 nucleotides. RefSeq lists it as uncharacterized. The transcript has 3 exons. The record is from RefSeq and is a predicted model, not a curated record. NCBI's taxonomy places the organism in Eukaryota, Metazoa, Chordata, Actinopteri, Perciformes, Eleginopidae.
UGGCAGCAGUCACGUACGGCCUUGUAUAUCAAUGCCCACAUUUAGGAUACCCAACUUCUGCCAGCACGUUUCGAAUAAUCACCAGUGAGCAUGCUGCAACCCUGCAAAUAUUCAUUAUCUCUGCUGCCUGGGAAACCUCUUUUCUUAAGAGUGUACAUGCUUCUGUGAUAAAGGAAUCACCUCUCUACCCUCACGAUCCGUUUUAUUCAUAGCCUGUGCAACACUCCACAACCCCACUGAAGUGCCAUCCUGCAUGGAGGAACCCUUUUUAUUGAGAGUGUGGAAUUACAUUAUUCUGCAUUUGGAGGGUUCAGUCCUUGACUCUUCGCCUCCCUCAGGGGAAAACCUGGCGCCUCCUGCCCGGAUCAGACGACUCGGAACUGGACGGAGUGGAAGGGAUGAGAGGGGUGGAGAGGGGGAGGAAGGGAGGAGGAGGUGGGGAGGCAAAGCAGUGGAGAAAAAAAGGGAGGAGAAAACCGCUGAAAUGCAGGCUUUAGACAUGGGAGGAUGGAGGGGUGUCAUGCUGCUGCACUGAGCGAUACAGGCCUCAACAUCUGCAAGAAAUAGGUGUCACAACAAUCAACAUUACUUUUUCCCAGAGUUGCACGACUGCUGCAAGAUGCACCACAGCAAAGGACAUGUUUAAUAUUUGUAUUAUUUAUUUAUAGGUUUAUAGACUACUUCCUGGUUUUUAAUUGAGAUAUAAGCCGAAAAUUCAGGUGUUUUAUUUUUUUAAGACCAAUAAUUCGAUAUGUUCUGUUUCGAUACAUAUGUUUAAUAUUUAAUGACAUUAUAAAAUUGUCUGAAAUGUUAAUAGUUGGUUUAGUCUGAAGGCAAAGCAUUUACUUAGCAUAUUAUAAUAUUUAUAUUUACGUUUUUGGUACCCUUUUCUCACGUAGAAAACCUAUUACGCUCACAAUGCAUCAUUCAUUGUGUGCAAAAACACACGAUAGCCUACAUGAAGUAAAUCCAAAUAUACAAAUAAAUAUUGUGACAAACUAUAGCAAAUCUCUGCAGGACAGAACAAAAAGCAAAGUGUCUGCACACUCCUGUGAUUCUGCUCCUCUCACUGGUCUCUGAGCCUGCUCUACACAUGCGUCGUAUGUAAGUGUAAUUGGCCGUAUCAUUGGCUUUUGUCUUGUUUACAAAGCGGGCAACAGGAGCGGUAAUUUAAUUUCCUCUGCCGCAUUGAAGAGCCACCAGCCGCCUGUCAUGCAGGCCGGGAUCAGGCUGCACAGCCCCGGGCAGCGAGCAGAGAGACCCGGGGCGAGAGGAGGAGGCGGAGGCGGAGGGGAGGGUGACAUCUGCGUGCUAACAAAAGUGUGUAUGAAUGAUAUCAUGGGAUGUAAUGCAGGGUAAGCCCUGUCUCUAUGGCUCAGCUGAAAUCUAUAAUUCAAUAGUAUUUAGUAAUAAUCAUUGGCUUAUUUUAGUUUAUUGCAUUCUUAAUUAAAGUACUAUCUGUUUAUUAAUGUUUCCUUUGGUUCAUAUUUGACCAUUUUUGGCUUUCUGUUUUAUUUGUUUACAUUUCUUUUAAUUCUGACACAUUUUCUAUUUUUUUACCCAUAUUUUUGUCUAAAUGUUCCUAUCUUU